AUUGAACGCUGGCGGCAUGCCUUACACAUGCAAGUCGAACGGCAGCACGGGCUUCGGCCUGGUGGCGAGUGGCGAACGGGUGAGUAAUGCAUCGGAAUGUACCCAGUAGUGGGGGAUAACUCGGCGAAAGUCGGGCUAAUACCGCAUACGCACUGAGGUGGAAAGCGGGGGAUCGCAAGACCUCGCGCUAUUGGAGCAGCCGAUGUCGGAUUAGCUAGUUGGUGGGGUAAAGGCCUACCAAGGCGACGAUCCGUACCUGGUCUGAGAGGACGACCAGGCACACUGGGACUGAGACACGGCCCAGACUCCUACGGGAGGCAGCAGUGGGGAAUUUUGGACAAUGGGCGAAAGCCUGAUCCAGCAAUGCCGCGUGUGUGAAGAAGGCCUUCGGGUUGUAAAGCACUUUUGUCCGGAAAGAAAUGGCCUGGGUUAAUACCCCGGGUCGAUGACGGUACCGGAAGAAUAAGCACCGGCUAACUACGUGCCAGCAGCCGCGGUAAUACGUAGGGUGCGAGCGUUAAUCGGAAUUACUGGGCGUAAAGCGUGCGCAGGCGGCGAUGCAAGACAGAUGUGAAAUCCCCGGGCUCAACCUGGGAACUGCAUUUGUGACUGCAUGGCUAGAGUGCGUCAGAG
This 633-nucleotide ribosomal RNA is filed under the name uncultured bacterium. Its description in RNAcentral is "bacterial SSU rRNA". It matches the Rfam family "Bacterial small subunit ribosomal RNA", at positions 28 to 656 of the family's 1533-position model. The record is from RNAcentral.